This 1955-nucleotide long non-coding RNA is filed under the name Nicotiana benthamiana. RNAcentral's name for it is "long non-coding RNA (NBEN_LNC008406)". The record is from RNAcentral. Lineage: Eukaryota; Viridiplantae; Streptophyta; Magnoliopsida; Solanales; Solanaceae.
UUUGGAUAUAGAAAGAAUAUUACUACUUAUAUAAAGGUAGAAACUAAUUACUUACAUCAAGAAGAAGAGUUACGGUAAGACAGGAUCACCAUUCUCCUCUCACGACAUAAAUUUAAUAUUGAAUCGUAUUCGCCUCUUUUAUUAUCUGGAAAUGACUGAAAACAUGUUUCUACUCAAUCCAAGCUUAUUUAUAAUUUGAAAUAAUUUAUUUGAAACACCAUCUGCAUAUCAAUUGCAAAUUAAUUACUGUCCUAGUCAUAUUAAAGAAGUACCACUACUGAAAGAAAUUGUUGAUCAAGCGUGUACAACAGAAAAGCAUAGACAAAUUCAUCAGUUAAAGCCUCAUUAAGCUCUCAUAUACAUUUAAAUCCGACUGUCAAAAAAUUAUCACACAAUGAAUAUUCAACAACUGAAGAAAUAUCAUAACUGACAAUUUUAUCAAUCAAGCAAGUAAAACUACAAAGGUCAGCACCAACUAUUAAGUAUUGCAAUAAUAUUUUCAAAACAUACAAAAAAUAAUUUUAUAAAAAACCUAAAUUUUCACAUUGUUGCAUAAAACUUUUUAUGUCAAGAUCAGCACAACGUUUCUUAAACUAACCACAAUCAUGCAGAACCAAAAACUUACUUCAUAAGGUAUGAAAGUAUUUUAGAAUCUUAGUAUAAAACCAACAGUAGCAAAAUAUUUAAUUUGAAAUUAUAAAAAUUACCCAAUAGAUAUAAACCUCAUCGCGGUUGUUAUCGAUUAUUUCUUUCAUCCAUAAAGUCUCCAAAAAUGAUACAUGUUAGUAUCCACAAAUUAUUUGACUUCAUGGGGUUGAUCUUCACUUGAGGCCAGCAGACAUAACUAUCUCAUCAUGAAUAGAUGAUUUGAACACAAGAACCUUCAUGUUAGUAGCCUUACUGAGGAAACUUUCGAGAACAUUGAAUGUCUCUUUUGUUGAUCAUUCUUAAAGGUAAAGUAAAGACUUACGGGACUACCUCAUUAUAAGGAAACCACCGAUCACUGGAGAAUUGACUUUCAGUUGAAUAACUUGACAUUUGAUCCUUUUUUAUCAUCCGUAAUUUCAUGAUAUGGAUAUGAAAUUUCCUGAUAUUUCAAGUGUCAUGGUAGUUUGAUACUGAACUCAAGUUGUAACUCUGUAGAAGUAUGAGUGAAAGAAAUGAAAGCAUUAAAAUAAAAAAUACUAUACUAUCAAAAAGAGACGAUGUACCAAUAAAAUAUAACUUUUAUUGUCAGAAAGCGUCAAAGUUAUAAAAAACACAAUGACAAAAAUCAAAAUUGAUCUCAAAAGAAUAUCUGUAUAAAUUUACAGAGAAUCUUAACCUAAUUUUUGUAUAUAUUGUAGCUCCAUAAGUUGUAUUUCAAACGGCACAAACAGAUCAUAGUUUUGACAUGUUUGCAAAAAGAUAUAAUUUUUUUAGUGAGGACGCGUAAAGGAUACCAAUAUAUGUUAAAUAAAUUCAAAAGCAUAUAUUUAUGAAUAUACAAAGAAUCUAGAUCUGUUUUUUGUAUAUAUUUGGUUCUCGAAGAGCUCUUUUCAACGGCACAAGCGAAUCAUGAUUUUGAGGCAUCUACAAAAAGAUAUAACUUUUUUAGUCAAGACGUGUUGUUUCUAAAAAUUUCAUCAUUCAUGGGUAGAAUUAUUUGAGGAAAGAAGGAUUGAGAAGAAAGAAAGUGUAAAGAAAAGAGAUGUGACCUCUUCUGUGACCUAACUUCAUGAGGUUGAUAAAAUGGUGUAUCUCCACGCCAAAAUUGUCUACUUCAACAUCUGAUGAAAGUUGAAAACAAUAGAUUUGUUGGCAGGGAUAAAAGUCACUAAAUUAAAUAAUUAUUUUCUUGAUAGGUUGAAUGUCUAUAAGAAUAAGUUAUGGCCGUCCAUUAGAAUUAUUAUUUCAAGCCCACAUUUGAAAAGACAAACUGGUGGUUUUAUUUUUCUUUUCCUACUUCAUUGUAA